AUAGGAGUUAUUUGAGAUUAUUUAAACCUUUGUGGAAUAACUUUUAUGAAACAUAUAACAGUUGUUAAUUACAACUUGAUAAAUAUGUAACACAUAAAAAGCAAUCAAUUAUAGUGUAAUACAACUUGUUAGCCUAGCUAUAAGGGUAUAUGCCGUUGAUAGCUAUGUAAUUUAAUUUUGAAACCAGAAAUAGUCCAGUGACAAAAAAAAAAAAAAAACAGAAGUAGUCUCUAUAAUACUGACUAAUUGACCCACGGUUUUCUCCACUAAUCAAUUUUCAAAUCUAAAUUAAUAUAUCAACCUUGCUUUGAAUCUUUUCAUCAAAAUAAUUUUUAUAACAGAUGUAUAUAUGGGUAUAUUAUAUUACUGUAUUGUUGAGUGGUUAAUCAAAGACUAAUGGAGAUAUUUGAUUGGUUAUAUAGCAUCAUCAUUAACUAGUUUUUUUUAACAACCAAGUAAAUUAGAAUGUGGUAAGUAUAUCUAGCAAAUCAGGGAAACAAUAUCGCGAAACUUAUAUUAAG
RNAcentral lists this long non-coding RNA (521 nucleotides) under Brassica rapa (field mustard). Its description in RNAcentral is "long non-coding RNA (BRAP_LNC005423)". The record is from RNAcentral. Lineage: Eukaryota; Viridiplantae; Streptophyta; Magnoliopsida; Brassicales; Brassicaceae.